RNAcentral lists this ribosomal RNA (135 nucleotides) under uncultured Nitrobacter sp. Its description in RNAcentral is "partial 16S ribosomal RNA". It matches the Rfam family "Bacterial small subunit ribosomal RNA", at positions 372 to 524 of the family's 1533-position model. The record is from RNAcentral. Lineage: Bacteria; Pseudomonadati; Pseudomonadota; Alphaproteobacteria; Hyphomicrobiales; Nitrobacteraceae.
UGGGCGCAAGCCUGAUCCAGCCAUGCCGCGUGAGUGAUGAAGGCCCUAGGGUUGUAAAGCUCUUUUGUGCGGGAAGAUAAUGACGGUACCGCAAGAAUAAGCCCCGGCUAACUUCGUGCCAGCAGCCGCGGUAAU